RNAcentral lists this ribosomal RNA (77 nucleotides) under Erysiphe sp. P3323/07. RNAcentral describes it as "partial 28S ribosomal RNA". It matches the Rfam family "Eukaryotic large subunit ribosomal RNA", at positions 1 to 76 of the family's 3401-position model. Lineage: Eukaryota; Fungi; Ascomycota; Leotiomycetes; Helotiales; Erysiphaceae. The record is from RNAcentral.
UUGACCUCGAAUCAGGUAGGAAUACCCGCUGAACUUAAGCAUAUCAAUAAGCGGAGGAAAAGAAACCAACCGGGAUC